CAGGAAGAUGGGUCAACCUAAAAGAAACAUAUACAUACACACAGACCCACACGCACUAUCCAGUCACCCUGAAGAAGGAGAGUUCACUGUGCAUAAGGUCAUCUCCUAAUGGACCAAGAAAAUUUCAGAGAUACAAGAUGAGAUUUCUAGGACAAAACUCUAAGUGACAAGUUUGUAGAACUGCUCAUGUCAUCUGAAGGACAAUUCUAAGGCAAAGUCCAAGGAGGGCCAGUUUUGUGGAGGAAGUCCAUAUGGAAAGCACAUGAUAGAGCCAACAUUCAUGGUGAAAAGUACA
This is a non-coding RNA of Odocoileus virginianus texanus, 295 nucleotides long. The record is from RefSeq and is a predicted model, not a curated record. Lineage: Eukaryota; Metazoa; Chordata; Mammalia; Artiodactyla; Cervidae.